AACGCACCUUGCGCUCCUUGGUAUUCCGAGGAGCAUGCCUGUUUGAGUGUCAUUAAAUUCUCAACCCCUCCAGCUUUUGCGAGUUGUGAUGGGGCUUGGAUAUGGGAGUUUGCGGGUCUUUAUCAAUAAAGGUCAGCUCUCCUGAAAUGCAUUAGCGGAACCGUUUGCAGUCCCGUCACUAGUGUGAUAAUUAUCUACACUGUGAUGAUUGCUCUCUGACUAGUUCAGCUGCUAAUCGUCCACUAUGGACAAUACUUAAUGAACUUCUUGACCUCAAAUCAGGUAGGACUACCCGCUGAACUUAA
RNAcentral lists this unclassified non-coding RNA (305 nucleotides) under uncultured Lycoperdon. RNAcentral's name for it is "sequence contains ITS2". The stretch from base 1 to 52 matches the Rfam family "5.8S ribosomal RNA", at positions 103 to 154 of the family's 154-position model. The record is from RNAcentral. Lineage: Eukaryota; Fungi; Basidiomycota; Agaricomycetes; Agaricales; Lycoperdaceae.